Molecule: ribosomal RNA, 497 nt
Filed under: uncultured bacterium
Lineage: Bacteria
Description: partial 16S ribosomal RNA
Rfam family: Bacterial small subunit ribosomal RNA
Source: RNAcentral
GAUGAACGCUGGCGGCGUGCCUAAUACAUGCAAGUCGAGCGAACGGACGAGAAGCUUGCUUCUCUGAUGUUAGCGGCGGACGGGUGAGUAACACGUGGAUAACCUACCUUUAAGACUGGGAUAACUUCGGGAAACCGUAGCUAAUACCGGAUAAUAUUUUGAACCGCAUGGUUCAAAAGUGAAAGACGGUCUUGCUGUCACUUAUAGAUGGAUCCGCGCUGCAUUAGCUAGUUGGUAAGGUAACGGCUUACCAAGGCAACGAUGCAUAGCCGACCUGAGAGGGUGAUCGGCCACACUGGAACUGAGACACGGUCCAGACUCCUACGGGAGGCAGCAGUAGGGAAUCUUCCGCAAAGGGCGAAAGCCUGACGGAGCAACGCCGCGUGAGUGAUGAAGGUCUUCGGAUCGUAAAACUCUGUUAUUAGGGAAGAACAUAUGUGUAAGUAACUGUGCACAUCUUGACGGUACCUAAUCAGAAAGCCACGGCUAACUACGUG